RNAcentral lists this ribosomal RNA (253 nucleotides) under uncultured bacterium. RNAcentral describes it as "partial 16S ribosomal RNA". It matches the Rfam family "Bacterial small subunit ribosomal RNA", at positions 524 to 776 of the family's 1533-position model. The record is from RNAcentral.
GACAGAGGGUGCAAACGUUGUUCGGAAUCAUUGGGCGUAAAGCGCACGUAGGCGGCGCGUUAAGUCGGGUGUGAAAGCCCUGGGCUCAACCCAGGAAGUGCAUUCGAAACUGGCGCGCUUGAAUAUGGAAGAGGGUCGCGGAAUUCCCGGUGUAGAGGUGAAAUUCGUAGAUAUCGGGAGGAACACCAGUGGCGAAGGCGGCGACCUGGGCCAAUAUUGACGCUGAGGUGCGAAAGCGUGGGGAGCAAACAGG